RNAcentral lists this ribosomal RNA (479 nucleotides) under Fusarium neerlandicum. RNAcentral describes it as "[Neocosmospora] neerlandica partial large subunit ribosomal RNA". It matches the Rfam family "Eukaryotic large subunit ribosomal RNA", at positions 67 to 558 of the family's 3401-position model. The record is from RNAcentral. RNAcentral also lists the same sequence under 1 other name. Lineage: Eukaryota; Fungi; Ascomycota; Sordariomycetes; Hypocreales; Nectriaceae.
AACAGGGAUUGCCCAGUAACGGCGAGUGAAGCGGCAACAGCUCAAAUUUGAAAUCUGGCUCUCGGGCCCGAGUUGUAAUUUGUAGAGGAUGCUUUUGGUGAGGUGCCUUCCGAGUUCCCUGGAACGGGACGCCAUAGAGGGUGAGAGCCCCGUCUGGUUGGACGCCGAACCUCUGUAAAGCUCCUUCGACGAGUCGAGUAGUUUGGGAAUGCUGCUCUAAAUGGGAGGUAUAUGUCUUCUAAAGCUAAAUACCGGCCAGAGACCGAUAGCGCACAAGUAGAGUGAUCGAAAGAUGAAAAGAACUUUGAAAAGAGAGUUAAACAGUACGUGAAAUUGUUGAAAGGGAAGCGCUUGUGACCAGACUUGGGCUUGGUUGAUCAUCCGGGGUUCUCCCCGGUGCACUCUUCCGGCCCAGGCCAGCAUCAGUUCGCCCUGGGGGACAAAGGCAUCGGGAACGUGGCUCUCUCCGGGGAGUGUUA